AAAAUUGAAUUCGACGUGGUCCACCGUGGCUCUUACAAUAUAACUGAUUGCGCUGCCGAACUCAUUAAUUGUUGGGAAAUUAUUAGGCCAGAUAUAAUAUGUGACUACGAAGAACGAUACUACGAGUCUGUGUGUGGAGCCCUGCGCAAGCACUGCAGUGGCAAAUUUGGAGCAGUCGAUGUCAACUACGGCAACAUCAAGCCAUUUUCAUUAUCAUCAUUGGUAUGCGAGAGUCACCAUAUAUACACGCGUCGUUACGUCAGUAUACCCCGAAACGAUUCUAGAGCUAUGGCUA
Long non-coding RNA from Pieris rapae (cabbage white), 295 nucleotides. RefSeq lists it as uncharacterized. The transcript is spliced from 3 exons. The record is from RefSeq and is a predicted model, not a curated record. NCBI's taxonomy places the organism in Eukaryota, Metazoa, Arthropoda, Insecta, Lepidoptera, Pieridae.